UACAGAGGUCCCAAGCGUUGUUCGGAUUCACUGGGCGUAAAGGGUGCGUAGGUGGCAGUGUAAGUCUGAUGUGAAAGCUUCGAGCUUAACUCGAAAAUGGCAUUGGAUACUAUAUUGCUGGAGGUUUGGAGGGGGGACUGGAAUUCUCGGUGUAGCAGUGAAAUGCGUAGAUAUCGAGAGGAACACCGGUGGCGAAGGCGAGUCCCUGGACAACACCUGACACUGAGGCACGAAAGCUAGGGGAGCAAACAGG
RNAcentral lists this ribosomal RNA (253 nucleotides) under uncultured bacterium. RNAcentral describes it as "partial 16S ribosomal RNA". It matches the Rfam family "Bacterial small subunit ribosomal RNA", at positions 524 to 776 of the family's 1533-position model. The record is from RNAcentral. RNAcentral also lists the same sequence under 1 other name.